CAUUUUUUAAGCCAUACAUGCUAAUGGGUUCAAGGUUGAUGGGAUAUUGACAAAAACAAAGGAAAAGGAAAUGUUUUUCGGACCAUGUUUCAGCUGGCAUCUGCUCUCCUUAUCCUUCCCCUUUGCUAUCAAAAUUGUCAGGAUUCUUAGGCUAAUUAGAAGUUUUUAAAAUGAUAAAUUCGUUCCUUUGCUAUCUGGUUUUUAAGGUUGGAUAAAUUCCUCAGAAGUUUCACUAAAAAACUGGAUUUGCUGUUGUUGCAAUUUUUUGUUCCAAUUUAGGCUUUGAUUCUGAUCUAGUUCCAUGCAAUAUCCGACCAUCUUGGCUAUAUUUUUUCACUCAAGACAUGUUGAAAAAUUUAAAUAGCAUGCCACUAUACCCCUGUCUGCCUUUUCUUCCCUCCUCUGCAACAAUUCCCUGCUAAUGUUUUGAAAAAACUAUCGUCCUUCCCUCUGCAACCUAGCAUGCAUAGGACAACCCCCCUUUUCAUGCCUGUGCAGCUGUAACACAGAGCUCCAGUCCAAGGGAAACAAUUUUUUGCACCUCCUCUGUGCCAUCUAUGGAAGAAGACACAGGGGAGCCUCAUACCAUCUAAUGGCUGAGAUUUCAGCCCUAAUGCAAACGGUUGGGAUAAGAAGGCGUGAGGCUGGUCUCUAAGUUUGCUUGGCUAUAUAAGCAAGCUAUGGAGAAAAAGCGUAAAAAAAAAAGGAGGAGAGAGAGGGAGACAGAGAUAGUUCAAAUACAGACAGCAAAAAGAGUGAAGGUUGAGAAAAAAGAGAAGAGGGGAGGCGGAGAAGAGUAGAAAACAGAGAGCUAGCAUAAGGUUGAGUUUAGGGAAGCAGAAAAUCAGUUAAAGAUGAGGGAAGAUCACUUUCAGCUCAUCCUACUUUGUCGAAAAGGAUUUCACAAAACUCUAAAAGGGUUUUAAAGAAGCUCCUAACGGCAGAAAGAGGAAGGCUUUGAGUUUAGAUGUUUGUCUAUGUUAGAGUUAUACAUUUCUUCCUUUUUCUCCUUCGUGAGGAACCGUGAGCCUAAAAGGGCUCCACCCCUUUUCUCUUUUAUUUGGGUGUCUCUCUGCCUUAGGAUGUUGCAUAGAAGGAGGUUGGCUCCUAGAUAAAGUUAUGUCCAGAAGAAAAAAAACAAGAGAAGGUCCUCUUUAGUUCAGCUUGGCUCCUAAAAGUUUGUUUGUCCAGAGAAGAAAGUGAAACAGGAGGGAGGUCCCUUUGCGUUUGAAGUAAUCUUUUGUCCAUGUUCAGAGGCUCAUGUUUUCUUUCCUGCUUGGUGAAAUGAAAUAACUGGCUAUGUUGUUUUGGGUUUAGUCCGUGAUGUAGGUGGUAUGAAAUCAUGCUCUUCAAGGUCUUUCCUUUUGCAUUGAAACUGCUAUGGCAGUUUUCCUUGCAUGAAACUAGUAUGGCAGUGCUCCUAUAUUGGUAAAAGAGGAUAGGUCAUGAGUCACACUGCGUAGGAUUUCCCCACAUGACAAGUUUAUUCUUGUGCUGGAUUAAUAACCUUA
RNAcentral lists this long non-coding RNA (1511 nucleotides) under Populus tremula. Its description in RNAcentral is "long non-coding RNA (PTRE_LNC001241)". The record is from RNAcentral. Lineage: Eukaryota; Viridiplantae; Streptophyta; Magnoliopsida; Malpighiales; Salicaceae.